This 27-nucleotide ribosomal RNA is filed under the name Trichostomopsis paramicola. RNAcentral's name for it is "Didymodon paramicola partial 26S ribosomal RNA". The record is from RNAcentral. Lineage: Eukaryota; Viridiplantae; Streptophyta; Bryopsida; Pottiales; Pottiaceae.
CAGACUUCUGAUCAGAGAAGACUACCC